Pecten maximus is the source of this 1326-nucleotide long non-coding RNA. RefSeq lists it as uncharacterized. Lineage: Eukaryota; Metazoa; Mollusca; Bivalvia; Pectinida; Pectinidae. The record is from RefSeq and is a predicted model, not a curated record. The transcript has 5 exons.
ACUACAUGUGUCUCGUCAAAAUGUUCAAUCAAUUUCUCGCUUGGGUACUUGUCUGCUCAUUUCACACCAUAUCGAUGGGACAAUUGAUAGCAUCUGGUCGCCAAGCAACGGCUGAUGAAGUCCGCAUUGAACAGAGUAUACUUGCGAACAUCAGGUAUUUGUUAAUACCUUACUGUAAGUUGGAAUUGCCCACUGACCCCCCCAUCAGUGAGCCUCCAGAGCCUGGCCGAACGCAUUGUUGCGAUGGAGAAAUCCCACAAAAAUGACGAAAUCUCCGACAACCUUUCGUCUGAAAUCCAGAACAUGUCCAGCCGUAUCGAGAUGAUAGAGAAAUCCCAUGGCAGUGACAACACAUCCGGCAUCCUUUCGUCGGAAAUCCAGGAACUAGCUAAACGUAUCGUGGUGAUUGAGAAAUCACACGACAUUGAAACUUCAUCCGUCAUCCUUACGUCGGAAAUCCAGAACCUCACCGAACGUAUCGUGGCGAUGGAGAGAUCACAUUACAUUGAUACUUCAUCCGUCAUCCUUUCGUCAGAAAUCCAGAACCUCACCGAACGUAUCGUGGCGAUGGAGAGAUCACAUUACAUUGAAACCACGUCGGACAUCCUUUCGUCAGAAAUCCAGAACCUGGCUGAACGUAUCGUGUCGAUGGAGAAAUCAUUAGAAACUGACGCAAACCCGACAUCCCUUCGCUGGAAAUCCAGAACCUGGCAAACCGUAUUCAGGGGAUUGAGAAUAUACUUCAACAAAAUGUCACAAGGAGGUUGGAGUGCAUAGCUUCCUUCGAAAAUAUCCAAUCGAACCUUGAUGUUCAGAUGUUUGAUGGUCGAUGCUACUUCAUCGGACGACAGUAUUUGUCUUGGAGUAAAACUCAGGCUAAGUGUCAACUAGCUGGAGCGAACCUCGUGACGGACCCAAGCCAGAGACUCAUUGACUUUCUAACGGAAGUUAUUGAAAAUCAUUUUUGGAUAGGAGCCAGAAAGACAAAUAUCGGCAGUUUCCAAUGGAUUACUAACGGUGAAACUGUCUAUUGGAAUGACAGGAGAUGGGAUGGAAAUCACCCUUAUUAUAAUGAACGUAAUCUAUGUGUUUAUGUCAACGUUGGUAGGAGGAAGUGGCGUGAUUACGACUGUAAUCACAGAUACAAUUAUGUCUGCCAAUUAUAAAUCAUCACAUUUAUUUCAAAUUUAGGUCAAUUUCAGGUCAUUUUCAGGUCAAAAUCAAGUCGAUUUCUUGACAUGAAUUGACUAAUCUUCUCUUUUCAUGUCAAGAAUUUGACCUGAAUUGACAUGAAGACAUUUUACCUAUGUACAUGUAUCAUUUUUC